CUCACACCUAACUGAGGUCUUAGAGCAGAAUGAGGUAGCGUGGCUGGUGAGGGAAUGGUCACAUGCUCUGUAUUCUCAGAGAUAUGUUAUGAAAGUGUCUCCAGCCCUCCCUUUCUACAAUCAAGCCAAAUUAGUUUCUGUUGGUGUCGAGAUAGACCACAGCUGAAAAUUCCCCAGCUGUCCGUGAACAGAUCACCUGGAACCAGCCAAUUAAGAAAAACUGAUGAUUUUGGCUUAAAUAUCCUUUAAUCAAGACACUGUUUCUCACUCCCCUGACUCUCCCCUCUUGCCCUGAGGUUUUUUUGCCUUUAUAAUCUUUUCUUCCCUGACCCCUCAGAGCACACUUGUAUUUUAUUUAUACUAGGGGCUGUGUCUCCCCAAUCUAUAGAUAAUUUUUUUUUUUAAAUGAAACUCUUCCGUUUUUCUUUCACAACUAUUGUGGUCUUUUGUUAAGAUUUCUUGCUUUCUUUUUUUUUGAGACAGGAUCUUGCUCUCAGCUUGCCCAGGCUGGAGUGCAGUGAUGAAAUCAUAGCUCUGCAGUCUCAAACUCCUGGCCUCAAGUGAUCUUCCUGCCUCAACUUCCCAAAUAGCUGAGACUACAGGCAUGAGGCACAACACCUGGCUAAUUUCUAAUUUUUUUUUUUUUUUUUGCAGAGAAGGGGUCCUGCUAUGUUGCCCAGGCUUGUUUCAAAUUCCUGGCAUCAAGUGACCCUCCCGCAGUGCUGGGAUUACCAAUGUGAGCCACUGCAUCUGGCUCUAUGUCGUGAACAUUUUUUGAUGAUGAGGAUGCGAUCUGAAGGGGACCCCAAGCUCCUUUUCUGUGCUACCUGGACCAAUGCAUCGGCACCUGUGAGAUUUCUUUCAGCUCAGCCGCCUUCACAGCUGCAUUGGGUAGAAAUCAGGGACCCAGCCCCUUGGUACCAACAUCAGCCCUUGAGGUCUUCCAGCCCCUCAUGCCUAUGCCAGGGUGAGUCUCUCCAGAGUCUGGAGCCUCCCACAUGGUUGACGUUCCUGUUCCAUUCAGCUAGUUGUUCUCACUCCUUGAUGAAGGGGUAAGAUUUUUUUCCAUGAGACUUUUCGUAUCUCAAGAAGUGGGUAAUCACUCUGUGUUUCUCCCUCAAGGAGCACAUUAAGACAUUCUUUUCCUAUACCAUUUCUCCCAUUAACCUCCGUUAUGACUUGAUUUGUCAACAAAACUUCAGAGGGCAAAGUGAAACAAACCUUCCUUUGGCUCCGGCAGCUCUGACACAGUGAGAAAGACACCAAAGACACUCUGCUUUUCUAGAUGCCAGGACCUGAGAAGCCAACAGAAAGGCGAAGAUUUUGAUUAAAAAAUCACCUUUUGUCUCCGCGGCAAAAAAAAUUUUUUUUUUUUUUUGAGACAGAGUCUGUGUUACCCAGCUUGGAGUGCAGUGGCCUGAUCUCGGCUCAUUGCAACCUCUGCCUCCUGGGUUUAAACAGUUCUCCUGCUUCAGCCUCCUGAGUAGCUGGGAUUACUGGCAUGUGCCACCACACCCAGCUAAUUUUUUUGUAUUUUAAUAGAGACGGGGUUUCACCAUGUUUGCUAGUCUGGUCUCGAACUUCUUCCCUCUCAGGUGAUUUGCCCUCCUUGGCCACCCAAAGUGCUGGGGUUACAGACAUGAGCCACUGGGCCCUGCCUGCAAAAUCUUGAUUCAUGAGAAAGAAUUUUUUGUGACUGGUCUUGGGUGUAGCAACUCCGGUAUGCGUUUAGUACUUUUUUGAAUAAAUAUUCAUAUUGUUUGAUUCCUUUUCCUUCCCCAAACAGUCUUUUCCUUUGUCUUUAUCUUUCUGUGUUGUUUUGUCAUGAAGAAGGGUACCAGAAGGUAGAAUGUGGACCUAAAAUUUCUGUAAGUUCAUUGCUCAGGCUGGCAAUAUGCAGUUCUAAUUGACACAUUUUUUAAUCUCAAGGAAGUUUGUCUAAAGACACCCCAUUCUUAGGGAAUUUUUGUCAUCUCAACCCUUGCUACCUGGUAAGUUGUGAGAAAGCUCAAUCUCAGGAGGGCCUUCUUGGCAUCACAGAUGAACAGGUCUUUAACUGGUGGCCUCCUACAAAUGUGUGUGUCACCAGACAGCAUAUUCACAAACAUGAUCCUUAACUGUUGUCUGUGGUGAAAAGUCUUUCGCCAUCUCAACCUAUUGCCUCAUAAAAGAAGCAGUUCCAAGGGUACACACACACACACACACACACACACACAUACACACACACGUUGAAGUUAAACUACAUGUGACCUACAUGAGAACCUUUAACAUACAUGUGUUAAAGCUAAGUUAAAAAGACCACCAUACGUGCGCGUGUGUGUGUGUGUGUGUGUGUGUAUCCUUGGAAUUGCCUCUUUUAUGCCCUCUCAAGGAAACACCUCUUUCUCAAACUGCCUGCUUUGGAUCCCCUACAAGAUUUAUUUAAAAAAAACGACCUUGUCUUCUAGUGACUCAGAUUCUGACAUGACUGUGGUCCAGGUUUGAUUCCAGGUCAGGG
This is a long non-coding RNA of Callithrix jacchus (white-tufted-ear marmoset), 2497 nucleotides long. The record is from Ensembl. NCBI's taxonomy places the organism in Eukaryota, Metazoa, Chordata, Mammalia, Primates, Cebidae.